This 253-nucleotide ribosomal RNA is filed under the name uncultured bacterium. RNAcentral describes it as "partial 16S ribosomal RNA". It matches the Rfam family "Bacterial small subunit ribosomal RNA", at positions 524 to 776 of the family's 1533-position model. The record is from RNAcentral.
UACGUAGGUGGCAAGCGUUGUCCGGAUUUACUGGGCGUAAAGGAUGCGUAGGCGGAUACUUAAGUCAGAUGUGAAAAUCCCGAGCUUAACUUGGGAACUGCAUUUGAAACUGGGUAUCUAGAGUGUGGGAGAGGAAAGUGGAAUUCCAGGUGUAGCGGUGAAAUGCGUAGAUAUCUGGAGGAACACCGGUGGCGAAGGCGGCAUCCUGGACCGGUAUUGACGCUGAGGCGCGAAAGCCAGGGGAGCAAACGGG